UCUGCAACCCGACUCCAUGAAGCUGGAUUCGCUAGUAAUCGCGCAUCAGCCACGGCGCGGUGAAUACCGUUCCCGGGCCUUGUACACACCGCCCGUCAAGCCAUGAAAGCCGGGGGUACCUGAAGUCCGUAACCGUAAGGAGCGGCCUAGGGUAAAACUGGUAAUUGGGGCUAAGUCGUAACAAGGUAAC
This 190-nucleotide ribosomal RNA is filed under the name uncultured bacterium. RNAcentral's name for it is "partial 16S ribosomal RNA". It matches the Rfam family "Bacterial small subunit ribosomal RNA", at positions 1304 to 1500 of the family's 1533-position model. The record is from RNAcentral.